UUACGGCUACAUCAUGUUGAAACACCAGUUCCUCGUGCGAUCACCGAAGUUAAGCAACGUCAAGUCUGGUCGCUACCUAGAUGGGCGAUCGCUUGGGAAUAUCACGGGCUGU
Molecule: non-coding RNA, 112 nt
Organism: Acanthosepion pharaonis
Lineage: Eukaryota; Metazoa; Mollusca; Cephalopoda; Sepiida; Sepiidae
Source: the annotation of a GenBank genome assembly